RNAcentral lists this ribosomal RNA (460 nucleotides) under uncultured bacterium. Its description in RNAcentral is "partial 16S ribosomal RNA". It matches the Rfam family "Bacterial small subunit ribosomal RNA", at positions 338 to 795 of the family's 1533-position model. The record is from RNAcentral.
CCUACGGGGUGCAGCAGUGAGGAAUAUUGGUCAAUGGACGCAAGUCUGAACCAGCCAUGCCGCGUGCAGGAAGACGGCUCUAUGAGUUGUAAACUGCUUUUGUACGAGGGUAAACGCAGAUACGCGUAUCUUUCUGAAAGUAUCGUACGAAUAAGGAUCGGCUAACUCCGUGCCAGCAGCCGCGGUAAUACGGAGGAUUCAAGCGUUAUCCGGAUUUAUUGGGUUUAAAGGGUGCGUAGGCGGUCGGAUAAGUUAGAGGUGAAAUCCCGAGGCUCAACUUCGGAAUUGCCUCUGAUACUGUUCGGCUAGAGAGUAGUUGAGGUAGGCGGAAUGUAUGGUGUAGCGGUGAAAUGCUUAGAGAUCAUAAAGAACACCGAUUGCGAAGGCAGCUUACCAAGCUACUUCUGACGUUGAGGCACGAAAGCGUGGGGAGCAAACAGGAUUAGAUACCACAGUAGUC